Trachymyrmex septentrionalis is the source of this 3781-nucleotide RNA transcript. It is a transcript of the gene named bumetanide-sensitive sodium-(potassium)-chloride cotransporter, with no coding region annotated. The record is from RefSeq and is a predicted model, not a curated record. Lineage: Eukaryota; Metazoa; Arthropoda; Insecta; Hymenoptera; Formicidae. The transcript is spliced from 20 exons.
UGUAAAAUAAAUUUGUCACUUACGUACGUUUCACGAAUAUAGACAAAGUUCAGUUAUUUUUGAAGUGGGAAUUUGGCUAAUUGCAGCACUGUUAUCACCGAAGCUUUUUUUAGAGUGACUGUCAGAUUAGACAAGAUGGAGAAUCGUUUUCAGAGCAAAACACAAGAAGAUGAUGUAAUUGGACAAUUACCGAGUAAUAAGAGGCCCUCUAUGUCUUUAAGUAUGGGCGGACUAUGGGACGUAGUUCCACGACUGGAUCAUUACAGAUUAAGCCGUCGCGCGAAAAGACCAUCUCUGAGCACUCUACAUGAAGGAAAUCUCAUAAAGGACGCCAAUUCCGUCGAGACCGGACAAGUUGGAAGCGUUGUCGGUCAGCAGGGUCACGUCGGAAUAAAAUUAGGAUGGAUCCAAGGCGUUCUUAUACCAUGCCUGUUGAACAUAUGGGGCGUCAUGCUGUUUCUGCGACUUUCGUGGAUAGUCGCGCAGGCUGGUAUUCUGCAAACCAUCGCCAUUAUCGGAAUAUCGGCGGUCGUUUGCGUCAUUACGACGCUUAGCCUCAGCGCAAUUAGCACUAAUGGGGAAGUAAAGGGAGGUGGGAUAUACUUCAUCAUCUCUCGUUCUCUUGGACCCGAGUUUGGCGCAUCAGUUGGCAUUGUAUUUGCAUUUGCAAAUGCUGUAGCAGCUUCUAUGAAUACUAUCGGUUUCUGUGAUUCCCUUAAUGAUUUGUUAAAGACACACAAAUUGAAGAUCAUAGAUAAUAGCGUAAAUGAUGUUAGAAUUGUUGGUAUAUUAGCGCUCAUCGUUAUGAUUCUUAUCUGUGCAAUCGGCAUGGAAUGGGAAUCAAAGGCACAAAAUUUCCUUAUAGCCAUCAUCGUGAGUGCGAUCUUUGAUUUUUUAAUUGGUACUAUCAUGGGACCACAAAAUGAGGAACAGAAAGCGAAAGGUUUUAUAGGAUUUUCCGCGGACGUAUUUAUGGCUAAUCUCGGAUCAAAUUAUCGUUACUCUGAGAAAAACAAUCAAACUUUCUUUUCGGUGUUUUCCAUCUUCUUCCCAUCUGUCACCGGGAUUCAAGCGGGCGCUAACAUAUCUGGUGAUUUGAAGGAUGCAGCGAGCAGUAUACCUAUCGGGACUCUUCUCGCUCUGUUGAUAUCCAUGUUUAGUUAUGCAACUUUUGUCUUUUUUGCCGGCGCCGCAGCUGCUAGAGAUGCUGGUGGUUUUGUAAAUAGUACUGUUGUGAACUGUAUUCCUGAGUUUAACUGCACGUACGGACUGCACAACAGUUAUUCAGUCAUGCAGUUAAUGUCAUUAUGGGGUCCUCUAAUUUAUGCAGGCUGUUUCGCAGCUACUUUGUCGACAGCGUUGACCAAUUUACUAUCGGUGCCAAGACUCAUUCAGGCUCUGGGUCAAGAUCGAAUUUAUCCCGGGCUGAUUUACUUCAGCAAGAGAUACGGAAAGUCCGGGGAACCCUAUAGAGGAUAUGUUCUUACGUUUGUUGUUGCGGCACUCUUUCUCUUAAUCGCCGAUCUCAACGCAGUCGCACCACUCAUCUCGAACUUCUAUUUAGCGUCAUACGCUUUAAUCAAUUUCUGCACUUUUCACGCAGCGUUAAUUCGACCUCUCGGAUGGCGGCCUAGUUUUAAAUACUACAAUACUUGGCUGUCUUUGAUGGGUUUUAUUCUUUGCGUAUCAAUUAUGUUCCUUAUCGAUUGGGUGACUUCACUCGUUACCUUUGUCAUUAUCUUCGCGCUAUAUCUAAUAGUAGUUUACCGUAAACCAGAUGUGAACUGGGGCAGUAGUACGCAGGCGCAAACUUUUAAGACUGCAAUUUCCAUCGUCUACAGGUUAAACUCCAUUGACGAACACGUGAAGAAUUACGCUCCCAAAAUUUUAGCACUUACUGGCCCGCCUGCUGCCAGACCAGCGUUAAUACACUUAGCAAAUCUCAUUACGAAGAAUAAUUCGUUGCUAAUUGCCGGCGAAGUUUUUCCGACACGACUAUCGUAUCGAGUGCGCUCCGUACGCCUAAAUAAUGGUUCCUUCUGGCUGCAACAACAACGUAUAAAAUCAUUCUACCACUUAGUGGAUGACUUGAGUCUGGAACGAGGUGCUGCUGCAUUGAUGCAAGCAACCGGGAUCGGUAAAUUGGCUCCCAAUGUAGUCCUCAUGGGUUAUAAAACCCACUGGUCGAUGUGCAAUCAUAAAGAUUUGCAGGAGUAUUUCGAUAUUCUUCACAAUGCUUUCGAUAAUAAGUUGGCUGUAGCAAUUUUGAGAAUUGCCGAAGGUUUGGAUUGCUCCGGCAUUACAAAUGGGGAAGACACAAACGGAGAGGAUGAUCACGGAGGUCUCGUACAGAGUAAUUAUAAUUUGGCAGGUAAUACUCUGAUGCACGCUGACAGCAAUCUCUCCAUGAGUACGCAGAUUCCCAGGGUACAAAGCGUGCCAACAAUAGGUACUUCAUUUGUCACACCUGACACGACACCUGUGAUUGGAUAUUCAACGAUAAAUUGGAAAGCUCACGAUAAUAUAAAACAAAAAAAAAAACAUGCUGUUGAUAAAUUGUUCGAAAGACGAAACGGCGGGAUGGCUUCUAUACCAGAAAAUGUAACAAUUUUCCAACAGAAGUACAAGAAAGGAACGAUUGAUGUGUGGUGGCUAUAUGAUGAUGGAGGUUUGACGGUUCUCCUACCGUAUAUAAUCAGCACGCGCGCAAAUUGGAAGCAUUGCAAAAUGAGAAUAUUUGCUCUGACUAACCAUAAGCAUGAUAUUAGCGCGCAAGAAAAAGAGAUGAUUGAGAUAAUGAAUAAGGCACGAAUUAACUAUAGCAGCUUGAAAAUAGUAAAUGACAUUGGCGUCGAAUUAAAAGAAGAGACACGAAUUUUCUUUGAUAAAUUAAUAUCCGAUUUUCGAAUAAACGAUUCUUCUUCCGUAAAUGGUGAAUGCUAUAUUACUGAGAACGAGCUUCAGACUCUACGAGAGAAAACCCAUCGGCAAUUGCGAUUGCGAGAAUUAUUAUUGGAAAAUUCGAGUAAAUCUACUUUAGUAGUUAUGUCUUUACCAAUGCCAAGAAAGGGUGCAGUAUCGGCACCAUUAUAUAUGGCCUGGUUGGAGACGCUUACGAAGGAUAUGCCACCCACGAUUUUAGUCCGCGGAAAUCAUACAUCUGUAUUAACAUUUUAUUCGUAGUCCACCGAACAUGGUCUAGUUACAUAUGGUACGUCUCAAUAAUAAUAAUAAUAAAAUAUUUGUUGCCUGUUCCCAUCAGGUUUCGAAAGUGGACUUGCAUUGUCCAUGCAAGUCGAAAUGAAGAAAUAAACGGAACAGCUUUUAUCAGCUGACAGAUAAAAUUGUUGUACUCGAAGAUUGUAACGAUAAGCACAAUGAAGAAUGAAGAACUUUACUGGAGUUCGAUUUUUAGUAUGACACAAGAUUCUCGUGUGGAAAUUGAAUAUGACUUGAAUGUCGUAUAUGGAGAGUAUGCUGAAGAUUAUUAGCAACGAGAAGUUAUGUCAGAGAAGAGUCUCUUAGUAGAAUAUUUUAUCUUUAUGUCGAAUGAUGAAUGGAAUCGAAGACAUUUUCCAACCUAAAAAAGUCUCAGUUUGUUAAAGAAGUAGGUAGUGUGAAAGAUGCCAACAAAUGAAUUUUGGCAGAAAAACUAGAAUAAUAAAAGUAGAAGCGGUGAGAAAGACAUAAUAGUGAAAUAGUGAAUAUUAGAAAAUGGGAAGAAGAAUAAAUGGGAUGAAGAAAUCAGGAAUAAUAUUUUAUGGAAAGGUUCCAUUGUACU